RNAcentral lists this unclassified non-coding RNA (349 nucleotides) under soil metagenome. RNAcentral's name for it is "partial contains 5.8S ribosomal RNA, internal transcribed spacer 2, and large subunit ribosomal RNA". The stretch from base 1 to 120 matches the Rfam family "5.8S ribosomal RNA", at positions 35 to 154 of the family's 154-position model. The record is from RNAcentral.
GAUGAAGAACGCAGCGAAAUGCGAUACGUAAUGUGAAUUGCAGAAUUCAGUGAAUCAUCGAGUCUUUGAACGCACAUUGCGCCCCCUGGUAUUCCGGGGGGCAUGCCUGUCCGAGCGUCAUUGCUGCCCUCAAGCACGGCUUGUGUGUUGGGCCUCCGCCCCCCGGCUCCCGGGGGGCGGGCCCGAAAGGCAGCGGCGGCACCUCGUCCGGUCCUCGAGCGUAUGGGGCUUCGUCACCCGCUCCGUAGGCCCGGCCGGCGCCCGACGGCGACCCCCCUCAAUCUUUCCAGGUUGACCUCGGAUCAGGUAGGGAUACCCGCUGAACUUAAGCAUAUCAAUAAGCGGAGGA